UACGUAGGGGGCAAGCGUUAUCCGGAUUUACUGGGUGUAAAGGGGGCGCAGACGGCGAUGCAAGCCAGGAGUGAAAGCCCGGGGCCCAACCCCGGGACUGCUCUUGGAACUGCGUGGCUGGAGUGCAGGAGGGGCAGGCGGAAUUCCUGGUGUAGCGGUGAAAUGCAUAGAUAUCACGAAGAACCCCGAUUGCGAAGGCAGCAUACCGGCUCCACACUAACGCUGAGGCACGAAAGCGUGGGUAUCGAACAGG
This 253-nucleotide ribosomal RNA is filed under the name uncultured bacterium. RNAcentral describes it as "partial 16S ribosomal RNA". It matches the Rfam family "Bacterial small subunit ribosomal RNA", at positions 524 to 776 of the family's 1533-position model. The record is from RNAcentral.